RNAcentral lists this ribosomal RNA (458 nucleotides) under uncultured bacterium. Its description in RNAcentral is "SSU rRNA". It matches the Rfam family "Bacterial small subunit ribosomal RNA", at positions 26 to 518 of the family's 1533-position model. The record is from RNAcentral.
AGAGCGAACGCUGGCGGCAGGCCUAAUACAUGCAAGUCGAACGCACCUUCGGGUGAGUGGCGGACGGGUGAGUAACACGUGGGAACGUGCCCUUUGGUUCGGAAUAAUCCGGGGAAACCUGGCCUAAUACCGAAUGUGCCCCCUCCUUUAACCAGGGGGGUGGGAAAGAUUUAUCGCCAUUGGAGCGGCCCGCGUCUGAUUAGCUAGUUGGUGGGGUAAAGGCCCACCAAGGCUACAAUCAGUAGCUGGUCUGAGAGGAUGAUCAGCCACACUGGGACUGAGACACGGCCCAGACUCCUACGGGAGGCAGCAGUAGGGAAUCUUGCGCAAUGGGCGAAAGCCUGACGCAGCCAUGCCGCGUGAAUGAUGAAGGUCUUAGGAUUAGUAAAAUUCUUUCAGCGGGAAGAUAAUGACGGUACCGCAGAAGAAGCUCCGGCUAACUUCGUGCCAGCAGCCGC